GAAGCUCAACUGUCACAACUUUGCAUUCUUCAGAAUCUCAGGAGAUAUCCUCUGGGCUUUGUGUUUUGAACUGAUCAAAGUUCUUGCUCCUCAAGAUUCUGGCUUUUUCCGAGAAGAGAAAACUGAAAUAAAGGAAAAGAUGACUUCUGGUUUCCUGACAGCCUGGUCUCAGGCAAAGAAGACUAAGCAGGAGAAGGUCUAACUUUGAAAUGUCAAUGGGUAAAUUUUCUGCAGCUG
Gracilinanus agilis (Agile Gracile Mouse Opossum) is the source of this 237-nucleotide long non-coding RNA. RefSeq lists it as uncharacterized. The record is from RefSeq and is a predicted model, not a curated record. The transcript has 3 exons. NCBI's taxonomy places the organism in Eukaryota, Metazoa, Chordata, Mammalia, Didelphimorphia, Didelphidae.